RNAcentral lists this ribosomal RNA (1997 nucleotides) under marine metagenome. RNAcentral describes it as "bacterial LSU rRNA". It matches the Rfam family "Bacterial large subunit ribosomal RNA", at positions 590 to 2578 of the family's 2925-position model. The record is from RNAcentral.
GGGGCGACCGCGUGCCUUUUGCAUAAUGAGCCAACGAGUUGUCCGUCGGCGGCUAGGUUAAGCCAAUGGUGUAGCCGCAGCGAAAGCGAGUCUGAAUAGGGCAUUCAGUCGCCGGCGACAGACCCGAAACCGAGUGAUCUAUCCCUGUCCAGGUUGAAGCCUGGGUAAGACCAGGUGGAGGACCGAACCAAUGUGCCUUAAAAAGUGCUUGGAUGAGGUGGGGAUAGGAGUGAAAGGCUAAUCAAACUCGGAGAUAGCUGGUUCUCCCCGAAACCUAUUUAGGUAGGGCCUCGCGGUAGGCCGCCGGAGGUAGAGCACUGGAUGGACUAGGGCCCCCACCAGGGUACCAAACCCAACCAAACUGCGAAUGCCGGUAAGUCGGUCCGCGGGAGUCAGACGGCGGGAGCUAACUUUCGUCGUCGAAAGGGAAACAACCCAGACCGUCAGCUAAGGCCCCCAAGUCAUGGCUAAGUGGGAAAGGAAGUGGGAACGCCCAGACAACCAGGAGGUUAGCUUAGAAGCAGCUACCCUUUAAAGAAAGCGUAAUAGCUCACUGGUCAAGCGGGCCUGCACCGAAAAUAUAACGGGGCUCAAGCCAUGCGCCGAAGCUGCGGAUUGUCUCUUAGGAGACAGUGGUAGGGGAGCGUUCCCCGUGCGGCGAAGCUGUGGUGGAAACCAUGGUGGAGCGCGGGGAAGUGAGGAUGUUGGCAUGAGUAACGAAAAUGCGGGCGAGAAACCCGCACGCCGAAAGUCCAAGGGUUCCUGGGCCAGGUUAAUCCGCCCAGGGUUAGUCGGCACCUAAGGCGAGGCCGAAAGGCGUAGUCGAAGGAAAACCGGUUCAUAUUCCGGUACUUGCGGUGACGCGUGAUGGAGGGACGCAGGAGGAUAGGUCGGCCGGGUGAUGGAUGUCCCGGUUUAAGACGGUAGCCGGAAGCUUCAGGUAAAUCCGGAGCUUCAACGGCGAGAGUCGAUGACGAGAGGCUUUGCCUCACAAAGCGAUUGAUUCCACACUGCCAAGAAAAGCUUCUAAGCAUAGUCACAGCAAACCGUACCCCAAACCGACACAGGUGGACUGGUAGAGAAUACCAAGGCGCUUGAGAGAAACCAUGUUAAGGAACUCUGCAAAUUAACUCCGUACCUUUGGAAGAAGGAGUGCCCACAAAGUGAAGGGGCUUGCCCCUGGAGCUUAGCUGGGUCGCAGUGACCAGGCCUGGCCGACUGUUUAGCAAAAACAUAGCACUCUGCAAACUCGCAAGAGGAAGUAUAGGGUGUGACGCCUGCCCGGUGCCGGAAGGUUAACAGGAGAGGUCAGCUUACGCGAAGCCUCGAAUCGAAGCCCCGGUAAACGGCGGCCGUAACUAUAACGGUCCUAAGGUAGCGAAAUUCCUUGUCGGGUAAGUUCCGACCUGCACGAAUGGCGUAACGAUCCGGGCGCUGUCUCAACGUGGUUCUCAGUGAAAUUGAAAUAGCGGUGAAGAUACCGUUAACCCGCAGCAAGACGGAAAGACCCCGUGAACCUUUACUGCAGCUUGGCAGUGGAUUCGGGAAGAGCUUGUGUAGGAUAGGUGGGAGGCUUAGAAGUCGGUGCGCUAGCGCCGGUGGAGCCGUCCUUGAAAUACCACCCUGGUUUUUUCGGAAUUCUAACCUCGUCCCGUGAUCCGGGACAGGGACCCUGCCUGGUGGGCGGUUUGACUGGGGCGGUCGCCUCCCAAAGCGUAACGGAGGCGCGCAAUGGUUCCCUCAGAGUGAUUGGAAACCACUCGUAGAGUGCAAAGGCAUAAGGGAGCCUGACUGCGAGAGAGACAUCUCAAGCAGGGACGAAAGUCGGUCUUAGUGAUCCGGUGGUUCCUUGAGGAAGGGCCAUCGCUCAACGGAUAAAAGGUACUCCGGGGAUAACAGGCUAAUCGCGCCCAAGAGUUCACAUCGACGGCGCGGUUUGGCACCUCGAUGUCGGCUCAUCGCAUCCUGGGGCUGAAGCAGGUCCCAAGGGUAUGGCU